UGGCGGCAUGCCAGCCUCUGGAUUGUUGUGAGGUGGAGCAGGAAUUCCACCAGGCCCAUUUGCCAACUACCCUCACCCCCUUCGGAGCCGAGCCUAUUCUGGACUAUAUGGAGAGGCCAUCCGUUGCUUUGGAGAGUGGGCCCUCUCCUCGGGACGGCACACAAGCACAUCAAAUUGACCAGUGAAGUCCGCUGUCAGCCGAGAUCGGCAAGCUUCUGUGUGUGCAGCCCCAGGUGUUCCUCAUGCCGUUCCUUAACCACGUCCCGAGUCUUGGGGGCCAAUUCCGGGUCCAAAUUUCUGUGCAGCUUGUCCGGGAAUGCUGGUUUAAGUCACCCCACAGUGUCCGUUGACCCUACAUGGCUCAUGGAGAAGAGAAUUUUGGAUGAACACACACGCUGCACUAAAUGUGAAAGCGGCAAACCCUUUGAGAUAAUGUUACCAGCAUCGCUAAGGCAGCCAGGGAGGAAUGCCCCAGUUGAACUGGCCAGUGGAACCCAUGAAGAAAAGGACCUGCACCUCCAAAUGUCGCCUAUUCUGCAUGAGCACCAUCAACUGGGGAGAGGCCUAAGGCCAGAAGGGUCUCCGACGUGGGACUGGCUGGACUGCUCGACGCUUCUUGGCAGCCUGGAGGCACAAGGACAUCAUUGCUAGGGGCUUGUCUAUGGACCUGAGAUGCUCUGCAUGCUGAUGGAAAUGCCAAACAAGAAACAGCCCGAACCAGCGGUGACAGACGGUGUAGAAGGCACUCAGUCUUCUUGGAAAGAACCAGCCCAUAAGAACAGGGAGAACCAGCCACCAGAAACACCCAUAAGCUUCAGUUCCCAGGAAAGGCUCAUAAUCCUAGUGAAACACAGCUUUGAUCAGAAACCAAGCUUUGGAAUAAAGAGAACAGAAGUGAAAAGCAUCAGUUUUAUAAUAAAGUAAAAAAAAAAAAAA
This 936-nucleotide small RNA is filed under the name Rattus norvegicus (Norway rat). Its description in RNAcentral is "long noncoding RNA". Lineage: Eukaryota; Metazoa; Chordata; Mammalia; Rodentia; Muridae. The record is from RNAcentral.